GGAGGAGACAGCUGCUCUUCAUCGAUGAAAACACACAGAUCUCUCAAGAGGAAAUGAGGGCCCGGAUUGAUGACGUGGAGACAGAGACCAGGCCUUUGGCAUCACUUGUCAAACCACCGUUUGAGAAGAAGGGUGCUAAAGAACUACUCGAGAACCCUUGCAUGAGCCUUCCUCCUAAAAUCCUGCCGCUAUGGAAACAGGCCGCGGUCCUGAGGCCCAUCCCACCGUCCCGGCGGCGCGGGGAGCUUCCUGUAGCUGAGGAGAUACCAGAGAG
Long non-coding RNA from Puntigrus tetrazona (Sumatra barb), 274 nucleotides. RefSeq lists it as uncharacterized. The transcript has 3 exons. The record is from RefSeq and is a predicted model, not a curated record. Lineage: Eukaryota; Metazoa; Chordata; Actinopteri; Cypriniformes; Cyprinidae.